This 495-nucleotide ribosomal RNA is filed under the name uncultured bacterium. RNAcentral's name for it is "partial 16S ribosomal RNA". It matches the Rfam family "Bacterial small subunit ribosomal RNA", at positions 28 to 507 of the family's 1533-position model. The record is from RNAcentral.
GACGAACGCUGGCGGCGUGCCUAAUACAUGCGAGUAGAACGCUGAAGGAGGAGCUUGCUCUUCUGGAUGAGUUGCGAACGGGUGAGUAACGCGUAGGUAACCUGCCUGGUAGCGGGGGAUAACUAUUGGAAACGAUAGCUAAUACCGCAUAAUAGUAGAUGUUGCAUGAUAUUUACUUAAAAGGUGCAAUUGCACCACUACCAGAUGGACCUGCGUUGUAUUAGCUAGUUGGUGGGGUAACGGCUCACCAAGGCGACGAUACAUAGCCGACCUGAGAGGGUGAUCGGCCACACUGGGACUGAGACACGGCCCAGACUCCUACGGGAGGCAGCAGUAGGGAAUCUUCGGCAAUGGACGAAAGUCUGACCGAGCAACGCCGCGUGAGUGAAGAAGGGUUUCGGAUCGUAAAGCUCUGUUGUAAGAGAAGAACGAGUGUGAGAGUGGAAAGUUCACACUGUGACGGUAUCUUACCAGAAAGGGACGGCUAACUACGUG